This 73-nucleotide transfer RNA is filed under the name bacterium. Its description in RNAcentral is "tRNA-Lys". It matches the Rfam family "tRNA". From Rfam's summary of the family: Transfer RNA (tRNA) molecules are approximately 80 nucleotides in length. Their secondary structure includes four short double-helical elements and three loops (D, anti-codon, and T loops). The record is from RNAcentral. RNAcentral also lists the same sequence under 3 other names.
GAGGGUGUAGCUCAGCCGGUAGAGCAGCGGCCUUUUAAGCCGUUGGCCGAGAGUUCGAUUCUCUCCACCCUCA